CCCUGAACCCGAUCUCGUGCUUCGAUCUGUCCAUCUGGGCUUUAGGGUUUGUGGAUUGGGAGGCACGAGUGAAUUUUGGUGUGGCGUGGGCUAAAAUAUGGGUGACAAGGCUGGAUUCGUAGCAGGAUUUGGUGCUGCCACUGGUUCUUUUAGCUAGGGUUUGGUGCGUGGAGGAUUGUGUCGAAAAUUAUGGGGGAAAUACCUUUACAUUCUAUAUGUUUUAUACGUUUUUCGUUAAUGGCUAGUUAGUUCAGCGUCCUCUUUGUGAACGGGAAUGCUUAACUGGCUUGCUACUGUGGUAUGGUCUUUUGUUCAUCAAUUUGCUUACUUAAUAAUGCUGAGCACACUGGGUUGCAUGUGGUUCAUUCUUCAUUCUUCCUAGCCCUAGUUUUAUGUCCUAUGUUUGCUCUUUCAUUCAGAUGACUAGGUCAUCAUAGAAUAAUAUUUUAGAUUCUGCUUUCUGCACAAGUAGGGUAACCUUCGUUGCUAAACAAACUUCUGGUUUUGGCAGAUGAGCAUUUCAUUAGCAUAUCAUUGUAGGUAAGGGAGAUGUAGGCUUGACAUUUAGGUUUACUUUUAUAUUGAGUAAAAUACAUUUCCGGUCCUUGUCGUGCUAUGUCAUCUCGGUCCAUAAACUUUCAAAGUGUGUCUCUUAAAGCCUUAAUCGUUGUUUGGGUCUCAGUUAGGUCCAAACGGGUUGUGGUUUUACCAUACAGCCUAGCACUGGCAUAUGGACCCCACAUGUCAACCUAUGUAUCUCUUUUCUCUGUUUUCUCUCACCUUCCCGCAUCUUGCUCAUGUCGUCGCGCGCCACACCGUGUGCCUCCGUCCCGACAACACCGAGGCUUGGGAGCGCUGCGGAUGCAGCUUACUUGCACUCUGGAAGCCAGCCGCACACGACGCAGCCGGCUUGGGCGCCGCCUUGCGGUGGACGGGCAGCCACGCUUGCCUUGGUGGGGGAAGGUGCCGCUGGAAGCGUGAGCGGUGGCUGGCGGCGCAGGGGGCACCAGCUGGUACGGGAACGCCUUCGGCGAGAUGGGUGGGAUGGUGACCGCGAGCGUCGCCAACUGCGUGUCAUUGGUGCAGAAGAACAGCAAUUAGACCGUAAUGGUGUGGAAGAACAGCUGUCUACGGAGGCCAGGGAAGGCACGGCAGAUUCAGCUGCCUUACUGUUCUCAUUCUCAGUAUUUUCCUCUUUCUCUUCAUCAACAAUUACAUGGGAGGCUGCUUCAUCAACAAAUGCAGGGGAAGCUAAUUCGGAUUCACCUGGCUUUACUUCUCCUUUAUUCUCAGAUUCUGGGACAGCAACAUUAUUAAGCUGUGCUUGGCCUUUGGUGCUUUCUUCAGUAUUCUCUACAGCAGGGGGCUCCUCUUUCUUAUCUUCACCUCCCUCAGUAUUUUCUGCAGCAUGUGCACUUGGGUUAGGACUGCCAAAUGGUUUGUUGGGGGUGUGAUUCCAGCUAUGCUUACCUUACGGCGUCCAUUCUCUUGACAUGCAGCUAGUGGGUUAAAGCAACAUAAUGCUUCCGUGCAUUUAAUCUAUGCAUAGGGCUGACAAAUGUGUACUAGCAUCUUCUGGCUUUCAGGGUGAUAUUAAAGCUCUGCACAAGAACCUAGCUGCCAGAGAAUUGCUAUACCAACACCAGCAUAACAAAAGGAUGAGCUGCCCUGCCAUGGCACAGCUCCUCUCCAAUACCCUGUACUACAAGCGCUUCUUCCCAUAUUACGCCUUCAAUGUGCUCGGUGGGCUUGACAGCGAGGGGAAAGGGUGUGUUUUCACCUAUGAUGCAGUAGGUUCCUAUGAGAGAACUGGUUAUAGUGCUCAGGGAACGGGAUCUACUUUGAUUAUGCCAGUCCUGGACAAUCAACUAAAAUCACCAAGUCCUCUAUUGCUCCCUGCCAGGGAUGCUGUCACACCAUUGUCGGAGUCAGAGGCCAUCGAUCUAGUUAAGGAUGUGUUUGCAUCUGCAACUGAGAGAGACAUCUACACUGGAGACAAGUUGGAAAUUGUAGUCAUCAACAAAGUCGGGACUAAGCGCGAGUACAUCGACCUGAGGAAGGACUAAGCCAACGCUUCAGUUGUGCUGCAGCUGUCAUUUGCUUCGGACAUGUUUCCUAGUCUGGGGAUUUAUGUCUAAAGCCGUUGCUUGCAUAGAAACAUAUGUUAUUACUUGCAUAUGUCCUGUACCAGGGUUCAGUCAGCUUGUUUUUUUUUUGUUGAAACAAAUUGCUUGGAUAUUGAAGCGGUACUUACUGGCGGAAAGUCUAUAUUUGGUUGGGAGCUUAACAUUAAUGGCCUCAUCCGAAAUGUCACAAUCACAAGUCUCUUUAUAUCUCUUCUACUCAUUCGGAUUCGAA
Molecule: RNA transcript, 2358 nt
Organism: Zea mays
Lineage: Eukaryota; Viridiplantae; Streptophyta; Magnoliopsida; Poales; Poaceae
Gene name: proteasome subunit beta type-1
Exons: 6
Source: RefSeq, a predicted model, not a curated record